GGGCCGUUAGCUCAGCUGGUAGAGCAGUUGGCUUUUAACCAAUUGGUCGCUGGUUCGAAUCCAGCACGGCCCA
RNAcentral lists this transfer RNA (73 nucleotides) under Kineobactrum salinum. It matches the Rfam family "tRNA". Rfam says of the family: Transfer RNA (tRNA) molecules are approximately 80 nucleotides in length. The record is from Rfam by way of RNAcentral. Lineage: Bacteria; Pseudomonadati; Pseudomonadota; Gammaproteobacteria; Cellvibrionales; Halieaceae.